AACGCGAAGAACCUUACCAGGCCUUGACAUGCUAGGGAACCCGGGUGAAAGCCUGGGGUGCCCCGCGAGGGGAGCCCUAGCACAGGUGCUGCAUGGCCGUCGUCAGCUCGUGCCGUGAGGUGUUGGGUUAAGUCCCGCAACGAGCGCAACCCCCGCCGUUAGUUGCCAGCGGUUCGGCCGGGCACUCUAACGGGACUGCCCGCGAAAGCGGGAGGAAGGAGGGGACGACGUCUGGUCAGCAUGGCCCUUACGGCCUGGGCGACACACGUGCUACAAUGCCCACUACAAAGCGAGGCCACCCGGCAACGGGGAGCUAAUCGCAAAAAGGUGGGCCCAGUUCGGAUUGGGGUCUGCAACCCGACCCCAUGAAGCCGG
This 375-nucleotide ribosomal RNA is filed under the name uncultured bacterium. RNAcentral's name for it is "bacterial SSU rRNA". It matches the Rfam family "Bacterial small subunit ribosomal RNA", at positions 958 to 1329 of the family's 1533-position model. The record is from RNAcentral.